GCAGCAAACAUGUCAGCACCAGGAGGAGAGAGAGACCUGGGCCUCAGCAGCAGGCCCCCUGCCACCCGGGAGAGAGAGAGAGCCUCAGCCAGCCAGGCCGGGACCACAGCCCAGGCCCCCCUGCUUUUGGGACAACAGAGGGACAUUUUCAUCUACAAGUCCUGUGGAGGUAGAAAAGCUAAACAGACACAGUCAUCUGCCCAAACCCAGGAAGAGCAUCAUAGCUGUGUGUGCACUCCAGAUGUCUGGAACCAAGGACGAAAAUUCAAAACUAACUCACGGUGCAAAGAAAUAGCUGGGCUUCUGUCAAAGAACUCUCUCUCUCUCCUCAA
Molecule: long non-coding RNA, 332 nt
Organism: Mastomys coucha (southern multimammate mouse)
Lineage: Eukaryota; Metazoa; Chordata; Mammalia; Rodentia; Muridae
Exons: 2
Source: RefSeq, a predicted model, not a curated record